This is a non-coding RNA of Caenorhabditis elegans, 21 nucleotides long. NCBI's taxonomy places the organism in Eukaryota, Metazoa, Nematoda, Chromadorea, Rhabditida, Rhabditidae. The record is from Ensembl.
UUGGCAUCAUCUUUUUGUUGC